AAGCCAGACAGGAUACCACAAAAUCCACCAAUGAGAAGUAGGUGGCAGUUUUCCAAAACCUAGGGAAAGCCAACUUGAUCAACAUGUUCAGGAUUGUCUCAUUUGUCCUCAAGUGUGCCACUCAAAUACCUUUGUAGAGAGGAUUUUCUGUCUGAUGACUAUUAAAUGGUCAGACUCAAGAAACCGAUGUAGCACAGAGCUGAUCAAAAAUGAACUUCAAAUAUCUGGGAACUGUGACUUGUCAUGUAAUGACUUCUCUCUGGCUAUGCAAGAGGAGAAAGGACUGCUUGAAUCAGUCAAGAGCAGCAAAAAAUAUGUAGACUUGUGUCCCUUCUCACACUAUGGACUAUUCAGAGAGAAGAGGACAGAUGAAAAGAAAGGGGGGAAAAAUCAAUACUCAUCCUGCAGCAUGUAUCCAAUAAAGCAGGGGAAAGAUUAAUGAGUUGGAGGGAGAUGGGAGGAGGAGGCUGCUCUCAGUCGCUGCUCCACUAUAACACACAGACAGGCAGGGGGUUUCAGCCAAUGGAGGCGAUAGGUGGAGGAGGGGGGAGCUUACGGUACCACCCACCACUCCCAAGCUGCCAGGAGAGAAGAAGCAUCAAGGACCGAGGCUGGAAGACUUCUUGUUUUCUCCUUUCUUUUCUUUGUAUAUCUUGUCCUCUCUUCCUCUCGCUCCCUAUCCCUAUUCCCCCCCCUCUCUCUCUCUUUCUCGUUGUCUGAAUCAGUGUUGCCAUGGAAUACUGGAGCGAUACACCUGUCCGGGCUGUUGCCACACCACUCCACUGCGAUGCAUGCAAGAGUGGUCCGGAGGUGUCAAAAGGCCAGGGAUCGUGACUUUUAAGGUGACCCGGAGCUCUCUGACAAUGAGGGACCCCCAUUCGCUAUGGUAACGAGUUCUGGUGGAUGAACCUUCUGGAUGGAUUGGGGUGAGGUCUGGGGUUGAGGGCAGCUUUUUUGGGGGGGGUUAGUGGUCUCCUGGAGGGGUCUUUCUAAGGACAGGGGGCACGCGCCAGCUGCCACCGGCGGGGAGACGCCUUUUUGCACACCAGCUGGAAGCAGGAUUUAACCCCCCCCCAUCUGCCCAUCUGACCCCUCCUUCAUGGUUUGAGGGGUGAGUGGAUUAGCUUCACUGCUGUUUGUUUACGGCACACUUCUAUUGUUAUGGCCGUUUACAUAUGUAUAUGUUUCAGGCCCGACCGAGGGACAGAGAACUGCCCAUAGUAGUCCUCCUCCAACUCAGCUGCCAGCCCGUCAUUGGCUUUUAAGUCAUGCUUGGCUUCAAAAGAGAGAGAGUAUCACCGCUGCCAAUACAAUCUCCAUGCUCGGUGUUACUGUGGAUUGUGGUUUGGGUAACCCUUUAAUAAGAUUCUGGGUUGUGUUCAUUGGAGCACACUGUUUUAAAAUGUUUCACGACGGAAAAUGAAAAUUACUGUUUCUUAUUGAAUUAGAUAGAUAAUACCUUCAUGUUUCACUCUGUUUUGGAGUGUGUUCCUACUGAACACGACCCAGGUAUGAGUCAUUUGACCCAGGUAUGAGUCAUUUCAUCCGAUCAGUGGCCACAUCUGGUGAGAUGAGGUCACAGUGGCCAGGUUCAUGUUCAUUAGGCACCAAGUGGAAAUAACUAAAACAGAGAGGGACUACCUGGACUAAACACAUUUUGUUUCAAAAUGUUUAAAACGUUUUAUAUUGUGUGUUUUAAUGAACAUGACCCAUGUGUGGGCGCUUUUGGGACAGAUUGGGAUUCAUUGAAUCGAAGGGAACGAUCUCCUGAGAAAGACAAGGGCAUUGUAAGUGUGUGUGUGUGUGUGUGUGUGUGUGUGUGUGUGUGUGUGUGUGUGUGUGUGUGUGUGUGUGUGUGUGUGUGUGUGUGUGUGUGUGUGUGUGUGUGUGUGUGUGUGUGUGUGUGUGUGUGACAUGGGGCUCCAUGGAUAGACUGGGU
Molecule: long non-coding RNA, 1939 nt
Filed under: Salmo salar (Atlantic salmon)
Lineage: Eukaryota; Metazoa; Chordata; Actinopteri; Salmoniformes; Salmonidae
Description: lncRNA (ENSSSAG00000100016.1)
Source: RNAcentral